UUUAUUUGUGGUGUCAAGAAAGGCGUAAACUAAACACUUUGCAGCCCUUUCCUGCCCUUGAAUAUGAUGUCUUUGGUGUAGGAGCUGCAAAACUAACAGUG
This is a small nucleolar RNA of Phyllostomus hastatus (greater spear-nosed bat), 101 nucleotides long. RefSeq annotates it as small nucleolar RNA SNORA13. NCBI's taxonomy places the organism in Eukaryota, Metazoa, Chordata, Mammalia, Chiroptera, Phyllostomidae. The record is from RefSeq and is a predicted model, not a curated record. The transcript has a single exon.